AACGAACGCUGGCGGCAUGCCUAACACAUGCAAGUCGAACGAGACCUUCGGGUCUAGUGGCGCACGGGUGCGUAACGCGUGGGAACCUGCCCUUAGGUUCGGAAUAACUCCCCGAAAGGGGUGCUAAUACCGGAUAAUGUCUUCGGACCAAAGAUUUAUCGCCUUUGGAUGGGCCCGCGUUGGAUUAGCUAGUUGGUAGGGUAAAAGCCUACCAAGGCGACGAUCCAUAGCUGGUCUGAGAGGAUGAUCAGCCACACUGGGACUGAGACACGGCCCAGACUCCUACGGGAGGCAGCAGUGGGGAAUAUUGGACAAUGGGUGAAAGCCUGAUCCAGCAAUGCCGCGUGAGUGAUGAAGGCCUUAGGGUUGUAAAGCUCUUUUACCCGGGAUGAUAAUGACAGUACCGGGAGAAUAAGCUCCGGCUAUCUCCGUG
Molecule: ribosomal RNA, 433 nt
Filed under: uncultured bacterium
Lineage: Bacteria
Description: partial 16S ribosomal RNA
Rfam family: Bacterial small subunit ribosomal RNA
Source: RNAcentral